Molecule: ribosomal RNA, 497 nt
Filed under: uncultured bacterium
Lineage: Bacteria
Description: partial 16S ribosomal RNA
Rfam family: Bacterial small subunit ribosomal RNA
Source: RNAcentral
GAUGAACGCUGGCGGCGUGCCUAAUACAUGCAAGUCGAGCGAACAGACGAGGAGCUUGCUCCUCUGACGUUAGCGGCGGACGGGUGAGUAACACGUGGAUAACCUACCUAUAAGACUGGGAUAACUUCGGGAAACCGGAGCUAAUACCGGAUAAUAUAUUGAACCGCAUGGUUCAAUAGUUAAAGACGGUUUUGCUGUCACUUAUAGAUGGAUCCGCGCCGCAUUAGCUAGUUGGUAAGGUAACUGCUUACCAAGGCAACGAUGCGUAGCCGACCUGAGAGGGUGAUCGGCCACACUGGAACUGAGACACGGUCCAGACUCCUACGGGAGGCAGCAGUAGGGAAUCUUCCGCAAUGGGCGAAAGCUUGACGGAGCAACGCCGCGUGAGUGAUGAAGGUCUUCGGAUCGUAAAACUCUGUUAUUAGGGAAGAAAAAAUGUGUAAGUAACUAUGCACGUCUUGACGGUACCUAAUCAGAAAGCAACGGCUAACUACGUG